Long non-coding RNA from Peromyscus eremicus (cactus mouse), 546 nucleotides. RefSeq lists it as uncharacterized. The record is from RefSeq and is a predicted model, not a curated record. The transcript has 3 exons. NCBI's taxonomy places the organism in Eukaryota, Metazoa, Chordata, Mammalia, Rodentia, Cricetidae.
GACCAGGUGGUGGUGGCAUAUACCUUUAAUCCCAGCACUAGGGAGGCAGAGGCAGAUGGAUCUCUAAAAAGGACCUUUUUUUGAAGUCCCCUGCCCACCUGAAGUUCACAUUCCCUGGAAGACUGACUGGCAGGAAGAAAGAUUAAGAGUUGAUGCCACACCCAGAGAACAGACUUGCUAUUUCCAUGCAACAAUGUUAAUUAUGGUGAUAAAGUACUGGAGAGAAUGACUAGAAGCAGAGCCAAUGGUACCAUGGAGACAGCACUACAGAAUGGAAAAGUCUUGAGUCCAUUGUGUCCUGCCACCCUGCCUUAAGACAAGUAGAUUCCUGAGCCACACGGAAGUAUUUCUGCCUUUGCUGAAGACAACCCAGGAAACGUUCAACAGCUCCCUACAAAUAAGUCACCCCACAAUUCAUCAAGUAGCCUUCUGCAUCACAUUUCUCUUUUCUUUUAUAAACAAAAAUGGGGAGAUAUUGUGAGCCAGUACUUUCUAAAACAAAACCCUGAAGUUUAUAUUUGGAAGGAAGUGGAUAAAGAGUGAGCA